UCAAUAAACUCCUUCACUUAUUAUUUUAGGGUGUGUCAGUCUAAAAAAACUAACAGGGAAUUUGUUUGAAGAAGCCUCUGUUCGAUACAUUUUUAGUCAAAGUGUUUACUAUAGCAGCAAUAAAACGUUAUUUUACUGUAUAUAAAUCUGCGGAGAAAAUUUACAUUAAUAUUUUUAGUCUGCAUUACAUUCUACUUAUCUUGAUCAAAUGAAUUGUAGUUCCACAAUUUCUUCAAAUUGUUAAAAAAAGCAUCAACCAUUAAUUUUUACAGAGUAUUUACUUCAAUACCAUUACUAAACAUGCAAAGGACCUGAAAGGUUUUUCUUAAUUAGUCCAAUCAAAGUUUACCUGAUAUAACUAAUAUGUAAACUUUGUUAAGACAAAAUGAAAAUCUCUCUGAUUGGGAGAUGGAUUCUGAUCAUCCCUACACUACCAGUUUCAAGCUUAGUAUUAACGGAUACAAUGGUUUCUCAAGCUGUUUCAGAUAAAAGAAAGUUGAGAAAAUUCAUAAAAAUUUUGUUACUUUACAUAUUUUUGUUUUAGUAUCGGUUCUCCCUGCGGUUGUUCGUCUAGGAGUGUUAAAUGAUUCCAUUUUCUCCUUGUAUGGAAAGGAUGUUGACUUGACCCAUUGUUCUGGUAUUUCAGGAAUAUCAAUGGAAAUUAUAGAAAUCAUAAAAGAGAGGUUGGGUUGGAAUAUAACUUGUAUUAACCCGAAAUCAAAUACAUUUGGUAUGAAGAUAAAUGGGUCUUGGAAUGGAAUACUUGGGAGUCUGGAAAGAAGAGAAAUUGAUUUGGCAGCUAUAUCAUUAACAAUAACACCUGAAAGAAAUCAAGAUUUUCAGUUCUUGCAUCCAAUUGGGGAGGAUGGAAUUUACUUAGUAUCAAGAAUAUCUAAAACCCAGAAAACUCGACAUUUGUUUGGAAUUAUAUUUGGAGGAAUUGCUUCAGAUGUCUGGAUAUCUCUUACCAUAUACAUUUUAAUAACAGGAACUUUGGUUUAUCAUAAACAUUGAAUUAAUUCCAUUUUAACAUGCUUUGCAUACAUCAAUUUCCCUGUAAGUCAUUAGAUCUUGACAUCCAUUAUUUGCUUUAUAACUAAAUACAACAUUUGAUCUGUCAAACCUGGCCCUAAACGUAUAGGCCACUAAGCCCAAAGUCUAUUCUAACCACAGUGCCUAGCCCCCCUUUUUUAACAACAAUCCAACGUGUAGAGUUGUGACCUGUAAUUAGUUUUAUUAGAUAAAUAGUAUAUAUAAGAUUAAAAAAAAUAGAGAAAAUAUCAUGAUUUAUGAAGAAAAGUUUAAAUUAUAAUUAUAGCUAUUAAAUGACAAUGUAGUAAGUUACUAUAGAAAAAUUAUAAUAGAGAAGAUGUCAAUGAACCAUUUCAAAAGGUUAAAAUUACUUAAAGGAACAAAUUCCUUCUCAGACAUAUGAUAAAUAUUUUUAACUUUAAGAUAAUAUAAUACAUUUAGGAAUUCUCUUUACAUGGAUUAAGUCUAGAGAAAGUGGAAACCCCUGUAUCACCCUGUUAGAUGUCUCUGAGAACUGUUACAAUUUCUUUAUGGCGAGUGCCUGGCAGAUUCCUCUUAUCAAUCAACCAAUUUCAACCAGCAACAAGAUUUUAGUUCUGAGUAGUUUGUUUCUUGGUAUGAUUUUGUUUAAUACCUAUACAGCUGUCCUUACAUCAAAUGCGGUUGAAAAUCAUAAAGAUGUUGAAAUAAACACCUUGGAAGAAGCACUAGAAGGAAACUACAAGAUUGGAACUUUUCCUGGCGGAUUUGGCAGGAUUUUAUGAUCAUUUUAGAGUUGAACCAUUUCCACAUAGUUCAUAAAAAUUUUAGUAUAGCAAAAUGAUUAUCUCACUCAAACAUACCGUGAAUUGUAAAAAAUGCAUAAAAAAGUGAUUACAAAAUUGUUGAAAAACAAAAUAUUUUAAACUGAAAGAAUUUUUUUAACCAAGUUUAAAGAGGCUACAUUAUGCCACCUAUCAUCCAAAACUGUUAUGUUUUUUAAACUUAUAGUGAA
This 2026-nucleotide long non-coding RNA is filed under the name Eurytemora carolleeae. Its description in RNAcentral is "uncharacterized LOC111708721". Lineage: Eukaryota; Metazoa; Arthropoda; Copepoda; Calanoida; Temoridae. The record is from RNAcentral.